CCUACGGGUGGCAGCAGUGAGGAAUAUUGGUCAAUGGGCGAGAGCCUGAACCAGCCAAGUCGCGUGAGGGAGUACUGCCCUAUGGGUUGUAAACCUCUUUUGUCGGGGAGCAAAAGCCGGACGUGUCCGGCUGUGAGAGUAACCGAAGAAAAAGAAUCGGCUAACUCCGUGCCAGCAGCCGCGGUAAUACGGAGGAUGCGAGCGUUAUCCGGAUUUAUUGGGUUUAAAGGGUGCGCAGGCGGAUUUUUAAGUCAGCGGUCAAAUCGUGGGGCUCAACCCCAUCCAGCCGUUGAAACUGGGGCUCUAUCUUGUGCGAUAGGUAUGCGGACUGCGUGGUGUAGCGGUUAAAUGCAUCGAUCUCACGCAGAACCCCGAUUGCGAAGGCCGCAUACCGGUGCACACCUGACGCUCAGGCACGAAAGCGUGGGUAUCGAACAGGAUUAGAUACCCGAGUAGUC
Molecule: ribosomal RNA, 458 nt
Filed under: uncultured bacterium
Lineage: Bacteria
Description: partial 16S ribosomal RNA
Rfam family: Bacterial small subunit ribosomal RNA
Source: RNAcentral